RNAcentral lists this long non-coding RNA (1515 nucleotides) under Lonchura striata (white-rumped munia). RNAcentral describes it as "domestica (Bengalese finch) lncRNA (ENSLSDG00000003298.1)". Lineage: Eukaryota; Metazoa; Chordata; Aves; Passeriformes; Estrildidae. The record is from RNAcentral.
UGCAGAGUGUAUCCUUUCUUGUUGUAUCCUUUUUUGUGCAAUAUUUCUUGUAGCACACAACUGCAUCUUAAUUUUCAUACAGAGUAGGUGUGGGGAGGAGUUAACAUGUUUUAAGCUUGAGCUAAUCUAAAAACUUUAAAAAGCAAAUUUUUUCAGGGGGGGAAAAAGAAACCAAUGAGUUGUCUGUAUUGAGUGAAUAGACACAAUGAAGGUUCUCAGUCUCAAAAGGUGGCCUUCACCUUCUUCCUCAGAUACCCUACUAAUUUGUGGUCCUGUUCCUUAGAGGAGCAGUUCUAGAUCCUAGCAGCUGAUCUGUGUGAAGCUGUGCUGAGCUCACACUGACCAAGUUACCUUGUUUUACUUUAAAAACAUAGUAAUAUAAUAAUAUGUUGUCUAAAAUACAUUGCAGAGCAGUUUUAAUAUUAAGGGGUUGAUCAGUAUUUUAGAUCAUUUGAUUAUUGUUCUGGUACAUGAGAAACAAUUUGGAGUUGAUUUAGUUAAUACAUUCCUUACUUUGUCAUUUUGAGUAAAGAAGAAAAUUAAAACUAUCUUGUAAUUAAGUAUUUGGAUCUGGACUAAUAAUCAACUUAAUCACUGCUACCCUUUUGUUGGUUGUUUGGGUUUUGUUACAGUGCUGUCUGCACCUAGGUAGUGUUGUUGCUAGUGACCUACAUGUUUCCUGUGGGUUUCAUACUACAUUACUGUUUAACAUUCUGUAAUCUAAAAUUAACACAGUCUGCAUUUAUUAAGAUGUAUUUUUCACAGACAUUAAGCACUUUUUAAAACACUAAGCAUCUUUCAAUGUAGUUGUCAAAAGCCAAUAUAGCACUCCUGUUUUUUUGGUAGUUCUUACUUUUAACAUGCUUUUGUGAUGUUCCAGGUCCCUUUUGUGUUCCAUCUCUUUCAAGUAUUAUGGAGCUGGGGAAGAAGCAGUGUAAUCAUCAGGACUCUUGAACUGCAGAACAGGUCUUCUUGUCUUGAAAACCAAGCAGAAGGGCUGGUGCAUUGGCCUGAAUUUGUACUCUGAAACUGGGCACUGUUUUUCUUCAGUAAUUAACUUGCAUUGUUCAUCUGCAACUUGAAAACUGUCACUGGUGAGACUUAAGUAAUUAAAACCAGAGUAGCAGUUAAAACUGGUAUUGAUGUGGUCCUUGCCCUGUUGAGGGUGAUGAUAACAGUGGUCACAUGGGAUUAGCUACAUACUGGGCUGCUUAGUGGAACUAUUUAAAACCAUGUGGGAAACACUGCAAUGACAUUUAAUUUACAAGAUAUUCUAGUUCAGUAGACUUAAAGGCAAAGUUAUUCCAUAAAUUACUAAAUCGUAGUUGAUGGUGUGGGAGCUGGCUGGUGUAAAAGAUUUGUCAUUACUCCAGCUGCAAACAGUCUAAAUCACUACUAUUGGUGGCUGGACCAAAGUCAAUCUAUUUUAUUCCAAUAGGAGCUGGUUUAGCAGAUUACUUUAAAGUGCUUUUACUGGAAUUAUUCAUAUCUUACUUGCUGCAUUCCAAUGGGGAC